RNAcentral lists this ribosomal RNA (495 nucleotides) under uncultured bacterium. Its description in RNAcentral is "partial 16S ribosomal RNA". It matches the Rfam family "Bacterial small subunit ribosomal RNA", at positions 28 to 507 of the family's 1533-position model. The record is from RNAcentral.
GACGAACGCUGGCGGCGUGCCUAAUACAUGCAAGUAGAACGCUGAAGGAGGAGCUUGCUCUUCUGGAUGAGUUGCGAACGGGUGAGUAACGCGUAGGUAACCUGCCUGGUAGCGGGGGAUAACUAUUGGAAACGAUAGCUAAUACCGCAUAAGAGUAGAUGUUGCAUGACAUUUGCUUAAAAGGUGCAAUUGCAUCACUACCAGAUGGACCUGCGUUGUAUUAGCUAGUUGGUGGGGUAACGGCUCACCAAGGCGACGAUACAUAGCCGACCUGAGAGGGUGAUCGGCCACACUGGGACUGAGACACGGCCCAGACUCCUACGGGAGGCAGCAGUAGGGAAUCCUCGGCAAUGGACGGAAGUCUGACCGAGCAACGCCGCGUGAGUGAAGAAGGGUUUCGGAUCGUAAAGCUCUGUUGUAAGAGAAGAAAGAGUGUGAGAGUGGAAAGUUCACACUGUGACGGUAUCUGACCAGAAAGGGACGGCUAACUACGUG